Molecule: transfer RNA, 65 nt
Filed under: Gnathotrichus materiarius
Lineage: Eukaryota; Metazoa; Arthropoda; Insecta; Coleoptera; Curculionidae
Description: tRNA-Asn
Source: RNAcentral
UUAAUUGAAACCAAAAAGAGGUACACCACUGUUAAUGGUGUCAUUGGACCCCCCCCCCAAUUAAA